UACGAAGGGGGCGAGCGUUGUUCGGAGUUACUGGGCGUAAAGGGCGCGUAGGCGGCGAUCCAAGUUAGGCGUGAAAGCCCCGGGCUCAACCUGGGAAUAGCGCUUAAGACUGGGUUGCUCGAGUGCGGGAGAGGUGAGUGGAAUUCCCAGUGUAGAGGUGAAAUUCGUAGAUAUUGGGAAGAACACCAGUGGCGAAGGCGGCUCACUGGCCCGCAACUGACGCUGAGGCGCGAAAGCGUGGGGAGCAAACAGG
This 253-nucleotide ribosomal RNA is filed under the name uncultured bacterium. RNAcentral's name for it is "partial 16S ribosomal RNA". It matches the Rfam family "Bacterial small subunit ribosomal RNA", at positions 524 to 776 of the family's 1533-position model. The record is from RNAcentral.